This 236-nucleotide long non-coding RNA is filed under the name Mytilus galloprovincialis (Mediterranean mussel). Lineage: Eukaryota; Metazoa; Mollusca; Bivalvia; Mytilida; Mytilidae. The record is from RNAcentral.
UUAAAAGUUCUCAGAUAACAAACAAAAUUCUGCAAGAAAAUAAUUGGUAUUCAAAAUCAAACUAAUGGUUAUGUUUUUUGCCCUUUGUAAGUUUUUUUUUUAUCUCUCCAACACAUUCCCGAUUUACAUUUUCAAUUUUAUUAAGUUAGCAAAAAAUAAACUUGUAUUUCAUCAUAUUGUAUAGUAUUUCAAACCUUCAAAAAAUUUAUUGAUGUCAAAUACUAUUAAAAUUAUUA